RNAcentral lists this long non-coding RNA (1274 nucleotides) under Mus musculus (house mouse). RNAcentral's name for it is "long non-coding RNA chr1:39974462-39975736". Lineage: Eukaryota; Metazoa; Chordata; Mammalia; Rodentia; Muridae. The record is from RNAcentral.
CUUAAAAAAGGUUAAUAUAGGAAGCACUAGCAGCUUGGGACUGACAUGAAAGAGGUACAGAAGGCCUGCGAUAGAUUCACCCAGAAACAGACCUGCUACCCAGUCACAGCUACUGAUCAGUGACAAAGAUGUCUGCCAGGAAACUUACAGGAGAGAACAGCAUCUAUGCCAGAGGACUCUCUGGAGGCUCAGGGAUGGAGCUAGGUUGCCAUUUUUCGUAAUGUACAAAGAUAAUUGAAAAUAGAUCAGAGGUCUUAAUGUAAGAUCUGAUCUGUUAGAGGACAACAUAGGGCAGUCACCUCGCUACAGUCAUAGGAUUUUCUGGAAAGGCAGCAAUAUCAACAGUUGGAAGAUGGGAUUGGAUAAGAUUAAAAAGUUCUGCACAACAGAGAAAACAUGAAGAAGAUCGUGUAUAGAACGGGGGAAACUUUUUCUGUCUAUACAUCUGACAGGAUUAAUAUCUACAGUAUAGUUUUAAAAAGUAAAAUAUCGGGGGCUGGUGAGAUGGCUCAGUGGAUAAGAGCACCCGACUGUUCUUCCGAAGGUCCAGAGUUCAAAUCCCAGCAACCACAUGGUGGCUCACAACCAUCUGUAACAAAGUCUGACGCCCUCUUCUGGUGUGUCUGAAACAGCUACAGUGUGCUUACAUGUAAUAAAUAAAAAAUAAAAAAAAAAAAAAAAAAAAAAAAAAAAAAGUAAAAUAUCAGACAGCCCAAUCAAAGAUGCAGCACUGAACAGGCAGUUCUCAGAUGAAGUACACAUCACCCACAAAUGACUGGGAACAUGUGCAGCGUCCUUAGCUCUGGAGGAGAAGCAGCCACAGAUGCCUGUGAGGACAGAGCUCACACACACUACCUGUAAAAUGUAAACUGCAGUCACCAUGGAAGUUCCUUAAAAAAAACAAACCUAAGAGUAGAAAUACCAUAAGAUCUAGCUAUGCCACGUUAAGUACCAGAAGGACUCCAUUGUGAUAUAUCCGAGGAGAUACCUGUACACACAUGACCACAUUAUGUGGCCAGACUGCAUACCUGUGGGCAGAUAAAUAGAAAAUGCAGUAUUUAUAUAUACACGCUGGAACGCUGUUCAGCCGCAAAGAAGUAUAAAACUCUGCAUUUGCUGGGAAAGAGAUGUGACUGAGAUCAUCCUAUUCAGUGAGGUGAGGCAGAUGCAGGAAGACAAAUAUCGUUAGGGUUUGUUUUGUUUCUUGUUUCGUUUUACAUUUUUGGGUCCUAGAAUUCCUUAAUGAUAUAUAAAAUUACACACAGAGACUGUCC